This 1372-nucleotide ribosomal RNA is filed under the name uncultured bacterium. RNAcentral's name for it is "bacterial SSU rRNA". It matches the Rfam family "Bacterial small subunit ribosomal RNA", at positions 28 to 1381 of the family's 1533-position model. The record is from RNAcentral.
GAUGAACGCUGGCGGCGUGCCUAAUACAUGCAAGUCGAGCGAACGGACGAGAAGCUUGCUUCUCUGAUGUUAGCGGCGGACGGGUGAGUAACACGUGGAUAACCUACCUAUAAGACUGGGAUAACUUCGGGAAACCGGAGCUAAUACCGGAUAAUAUUUUGAACCGCAUGGUUCAAAAGUGAAAGACGGUCUUGCUGUCACUUAUAGAUGGAUCCGCGCUGCAUUAGCUAGUUGGUAAGGUAACGGCUUACCAAGGCAACGAUGCAUAGCCGACCUGAGAGGGUGAUCGGCCACACUGGAACUGAGACACGGUCCGGACUCCUACGGGAGGCAGCAGUAGGGAAUCUUCCGCAAUGGGCGAAAGCCUGACGGGGCAACGCCGCGUGAGUGAUGAAGGUCUUCGGAUCGUAAAACUCUGUUAUUAGGGAAGAACAUAUGUGUAAGUAACUGUGCACAUCUUGACGGUACCUAAUCAGAAAGCCACGGCUAACUACGUGCCAGCAGCCGCGGUAAUACGUAGGUGGCAAGCGUUAUCCGGAAUUAUUGGGCGUAAAGCGCGCGUAGGCGGUUUUUUAAGUCUGAUGUGAAAGCCCACGGCUCAACCGUGGAGGGUCAUUGGAAACUGGAAAACUUGAGUGCAGAAGAGGAAAGUGGAAUUCCAUGUGUAGCGGUGAAAUGCGCAGAGAUAUGGAGGAACACCAGUGGCGAAGGCGACUUUCUGGUCUGUAACUGACGCUGAUGUGCGAAAGCGUGGGGAUCAAACAGGAUUAGAUACCCUGGUAGUCCACGCCGUAAACGAUGAGUGCUAAGUGUUAGGGGGUUUCCGCCCCUUAGUGCUGCAGCUAACGCAUUAAGCACUCCGCCUGGGGAGUACGACCGCAAGGUUGAAACUCAAAGGAAUUGACGGGGACCCGCACAAGCGGUGGAGCAUGUGGUUUAAUUCGAAGCAACGCGAAGAACCUUACCAAAUCUUGACAUCCUUUGACAACUCUAGAGAUAGAGCCUUCCCCUUCGGGGGACAAAGUGACAGGUGGUGCAUGGUUGUCGUCAGCUCGUGUCGUGAGAUGUUGGGUUAAGUCCCGCAACGAGCGCAACCCUUAAGCUUAGUUGCCAUCAUUAAGUUGGGCACUCUAAGUUGACUGCCGGUGACAAACCGGAGGAAGGUGGGGAUGACGUCAAAUCAUCAUGCCCCUUAUGAUUUGGGCUACACACGUGCUACAAUGGCCAAUACAAAGGGCAGCGAAACCGCGAGGUCAAGCAAAUCCCAUAAAGUUGUUCUCAGUUCGGAUUGUAGUCUGCAACUCGACUACAUGAAGCUGGAAUCGCUAGUAAUCGUAGAUCAGCAUGCUACGGUGAAUACGUUCCCGGGUCU